Molecule: ribosomal RNA, 474 nt
Filed under: uncultured bacterium
Lineage: Bacteria
Description: bacterial SSU rRNA
Rfam family: Bacterial small subunit ribosomal RNA
Source: RNAcentral
ACUCCUACGGGAGGCAGCAGUGGGGAAUAUUGCACAAUGGGCGCAAGCCUGAUGCAGCCAUGCCGCGUGUGUGAAGAAGGCCUUCGGGUUGUAAAGCACUUUCAGCAGUGAGGAAGGCGGAGUCGUUAAUAGCGGCCUCGUUUGACGUUAGCUGCAGAAGAAGCACCGGCUAACUCCGUGCCAGCAGCCGCGGUAAUACGGAGGGUGCGAGCGUUAAUCGGAAUUACUGGGCGUAAAGCGCAUGCAGGUGGUUUGUUAAGUCAGAUGUGAAAGCCCGGGGCUCAACCUCGGAAUAGCAUUUGAAACUGGCAGACUAGAGUACUGUAGAGGGGGGUAGAAUUUCAGGUGUAGCGGUGAAAUGCGUAGAGAUCUGAAGGAAUACCGGUGGCGAAGGCGGCCCCCUGGACAGAUACUGACACUCAGAUGCGAAAGCGUGGGGGAGCAAACAGGAUUAGAUACCCUGGUAGGAUAGCG